UCGCCAUGAGGCGCCUAUGACAGAACGUAGGGCCGCGGGGUGAGCGUUCGUGAGGACGCGCGCAGGCUGCGCCCGAGUGGGGAAUAAAGACUUCCGUGUCCCUGUCCUCUGGUGUCGCCGCUGAGAGGCGACCGCCGUGCUGAAGCCACGGAAAACACCGGGACCCUGACGAGGGCGGGCGGGGAGGGAAGAAGUGCUUCUUCCCUCCUCUCCGGUUCCCUCACCGCGGGCGGCCUUGUACACCCUCAGUUCAGUGGGCUGUGCGUCAGGAUUGAGGCUUUCUUGGAUUUUGGCUGUCCACGUGUAAAUUUACCGCUUUUUUAAUCUGUUUUUUCCUGGAGUUUUUUUUUGCGGGGGGGGCGUUAAUACUGUCGCAGAGGAAAAGCUGCGAGGUCAUUGUAACUUUUGUUUCCCCCUUUCAUAGGAAAGCAAACGUUUAAAAAUAAAAUGUGAAACCAAUUUUGAACCCUGUCAGCAGCUUGAGGGUCUAAAAGAGUCACAGUGUGAACACCUUGAUUGGUGUGUAGCUUCUGCAACGCUGUGUGACCUUGGGCGAGUCAAUUAAGCUCUCGGGGCGUAUAUUUCACUUCCUCCUCAUAAAGAAGGAGGGAGAAUAUUGUAAUUAGUAGCAAGGGAAAGCUUGACACUGACCACCAAGGCUGCAAAUGUUGAUGGAAUGAAUUCCAGGUUUAGCAGGGAAUGUCUAUCCAGGUGAACUCCAUGAAACGAAUGAAGGCUCAUUAGGAGAAGGGGUGAGGAAUAAGCGACAUGAUGACUGAAAUGCUGGAAAAAUAAUAUUUUCAUCAUUGAAAACUUCUAGGGCUGACAAUGCAGCUCUGUUGGCAUAUUGCUUACCUAGCAUGCCUGAUGGAGCAUGUCUGUAAUUCCAGCACUCAGAAAACAGGCAGGGGCCUCUUUGUGAACAUGAGAUCAGCCUACUGUGGGGAGCUCCAGGCCAGCCAGAACUACAAACAAGACCUAGAGGACAUGUAACCAUAAAGAGACUCAACACUCAGGAGGCAGAGGCAGGCAGACCUCUGUGAGUCUGAGUCCAGCCUGGUCUACAAAGCAAGUACCCUGACAGCCAGAACUACAAAGAGAAACCUUGUCUGGAAGAAGAGGAGGGGCAGGGUCUCAGUUCAAUUCUGAGGAUCUACAUGGGACUAAUAGCCACUGGUGACCACAGCUCCAGGCAAUGUGAUGCCCUCUUCUGGUCUCCACUGGUACAGCAUGCACACGGGGCACAAAUAUACAUGUGGGUGAGACACCAAUAUAUUAAAUCAAAAUAAAUAUUUUUUACAAUUUUAA
This is a non-coding RNA of Cricetulus griseus (Chinese hamster), 1308 nucleotides long. NCBI's taxonomy places the organism in Eukaryota, Metazoa, Chordata, Mammalia, Rodentia, Cricetidae. The record is from RefSeq and is a predicted model, not a curated record.